This is a non-coding RNA of Desmophyllum pertusum, 73 nucleotides long. NCBI's taxonomy places the organism in Eukaryota, Metazoa, Cnidaria, Anthozoa, Scleractinia, Caryophylliidae. The record is from the annotation of a GenBank genome assembly.
GACGCUGUGGUGUAAUGGUUAGCGCGUUGGACUCCAGAUCGAGCGGUCCGGGUUCAAACCCUAGCCGGGGUCA